UGGGGAAUAUUGGACAAUGGGCGCAAGCCUGAUCCAGCCAUGCCGCGUGUGUGAAGAAGGCCUUUUGGUUGUAAAGCACUUUAAGCGAGGAGGAGGCUACUUGGAUUAAUACUCUAAGAUAGUGGACGUUACUCGCAGAAUAAGCACCGGCUAACUCUGUGCCAGCAGCCGCGGUAAUACAGAGGGUGCGAGCGUUAAUCGGAUUUACUGGGCGUAAAGCGUGCGUAGGCGGCUUCUUAAGUCGGAUGUGAAAUCCCUGAGCUUAACCUAGGAAUUGCAUUCGAUACUGGGAAGCUAGAGUAUGGGAGAGGAUGGUAGAAUUCCAGGUGUAGCGGUGAAAUGCGUAGAGAUCUGGAGGAAUACCGAUGGCGAAGGCAGCCAUCUGGCCUAAUACUGACGCUGAGGUACGAAAGCAUGGGGAGCAAACAGG
This 430-nucleotide ribosomal RNA is filed under the name bacterium. RNAcentral's name for it is "partial 16S ribosomal RNA". It matches the Rfam family "Bacterial small subunit ribosomal RNA", at positions 355 to 776 of the family's 1533-position model. The record is from RNAcentral.